CGGGGUGCAGCAGGCGCGAAAACUUUGCAAUAAGCGAAAGCUUGACAGGGCUAUCCCGAGUGCCAUCCGCUGAGGAAGGCUUUUACCCAGUCUAGAACGCUGGGGGAAUAAGGAGAGGGCAAGUCUGGUGUCAGCCGCCGCGGUAAUACCAGCUCUCCGAGUGGUGUGGAUGUUUAUUGGGCCUAAAGCAUCCGUAGCUGGCUAGGUUAGUCCCCUGUUAAAUCCACCGAAUUAAUCGUUGGAUUGCGGGGGAUACUGCUUGGCUAGGGGACGAGAGAGGCAGACGGUAUUUCCGGGGUAGGGGUGAAAUCCUAUAAUCCCGGGAAGACCACCAGUGGCGAAGGCUGUUUGCUAGAACGCGCCCGACGGUGAGGGAUGAAAGCUGGGGGAGCGAACCGGAUUAGAUACCCGGGUAGUCCCAGCUGUAAACGAUGCAGACUAGGUGUUUGAACGGCCACGUGCCGUUCUAGUGCCGCAGGGAAGCUGUUAAGUCUGCCGCCUGGGGAGUACGAUCGCAAGAUUGAAACUUAAAGGAAUUGGCGGGGGAGCAC
This 551-nucleotide ribosomal RNA is filed under the name uncultured archaeon. RNAcentral's name for it is "bacterial SSU rRNA". It matches the Rfam family "Archaeal small subunit ribosomal RNA", at positions 326 to 879 of the family's 1478-position model. The record is from RNAcentral.